GAUGAACGCUGGCGGCGUGCUUAACACAUGCAAGUCGAGCGAAGCACUUAAGUUUGAUUCUUCGGAUGAAGAUUUUUGUGACUGAGCGGCGGACGGGUGAGUAACGCGUGGGUAACCUGCCUCAUACAGGGGGAUAACAGUUAGAAAUGACUGCUAAUCCCGCAUAAGACCACGGUACCGCAUGGUACAGUGGUAAAAACUCCGGUGGUAUGAGAUGGACCCGCGUCUGAUUAGGUAGUUGGUGGGGUAACGGCCUACCAAGCCGACGAUCAGUAGCCGACCUGAGAGGGUGACCGGCCACAUUGGGACUGAGACACGGCCCAGACUCCUACGGGAGGCAGCAGUGGGGAAUAUUGCACAAUGGAGGAAACUCUGAUGCAGCGACGCCGCGUGAAGGAUGAAGUAUUUCGGUAUGUAAACUUCUAUCAGCAGGGAAGAAAAUGACGG
Molecule: ribosomal RNA, 447 nt
Filed under: uncultured bacterium
Lineage: Bacteria
Description: bacterial SSU rRNA
Rfam family: Bacterial small subunit ribosomal RNA
Source: RNAcentral